UACGGAGGGUGCGAGCGUUGAUCGGAAUUACUGGGCGUAAAGCGCACGCAGGCGGUUUGUUAAGCUAGAUGUGAAAGCCCCGGGCUCAACCUGGGAUGGUCAUUUAGAACUGGCAGACUAGAGUCUUGGAGAGGGGAGUGGAAUUCCAGGUGUAGCGGUGAAAUGCGUAGAUAUCUGGAGGAACAUCAGUGGCGAAGGCGACUCCCUGGCCAAAGACUGACGCUCAUGUGCGAAAGUGUGGGUAGCGAACAGG
This 253-nucleotide ribosomal RNA is filed under the name uncultured bacterium. RNAcentral describes it as "partial 16S ribosomal RNA". It matches the Rfam family "Bacterial small subunit ribosomal RNA", at positions 524 to 776 of the family's 1533-position model. The record is from RNAcentral.